GAUUGAACGCUGGCGGCAUGCCUUACACAUGCAAGUCGAACGGUAACAGGGAGCUUGCUCCGCUGACGAGUGGCGAACGGGUGAGUAAUGUAUCGGAACGUACCAUUCAGGUGGGGGAUAACGUAGCGAAAGUUACGCUAAUACCGCAUAUUCUGUGAGCAGGAAAGCAGGGGACCGCAAGGCCUUGCGCGGACGGAGCGGCCGAUGGCAGAUUAGGUAGUUGGUGGGAUAAAAGCUUACCAAGCCGACGAUCUGUAGCUGGUCUGAGAGGAUGAUCAGCCACACUGGGACUGAGACACGGCCCAGACUCCUACGGGAGGCAGCAGUGGGGAAUUUUGGACAAUGGGCGAAAGCCUGAUCCAGCCAUGCCGCGUGCAGGAUGAAGGCCUUCGGGUUGUAAACUGCUUUUGUACGGAACGAAAAGACUCUUUCUAAUAAAGAGGGUUCAUGACGGUACCGUAAGAAUAAGCACCGGCUAACUACGUG
Molecule: ribosomal RNA, 486 nt
Filed under: uncultured bacterium
Lineage: Bacteria
Description: bacterial SSU rRNA
Rfam family: Bacterial small subunit ribosomal RNA
Source: RNAcentral